AGUGAACGCUGGCGGUAGGCCUAACACAUGCAAGUCGAACGGCAGCACAGUAAGAGCUUGCUCUUACGGGUGGCGAGUGGCGGACGGGUGCGGAAUACACCGGAAUCUACUUUUUCGUGGGGGAUAACGUAGGGAAACUUACGCUAAUAUCGCAUACGACCUACGGGUGAAAGCAGGGGAUUUUUGGACCUUGCGCGUUUGAAUGAGCCGAUGUCGGAUUAGCUAGUUGGCGGGGUAAAGGCCCACCAAGGCGACGAUCCGUAGCUGGUCUGAGAGGAUGAUCAGCCACACGGGAACUGAGACACGGUCCAGACUCCUACGGGAGGCAGCAGUGGGGAAUUUUGGACAAUGGGCGCAAGCCUGAUCCAGCCAUACCGCGUGGGUGAAGAAGGCCUUCGGGUUGUAAAGCGCUUUUGUAGGGAAAGAAAAGCAUCAGGUUAAUACCCCGCUGUUCUGACGGUACCCAAAGAAUAAGCACCGGCUAACUUCGUG
Molecule: ribosomal RNA, 492 nt
Filed under: uncultured bacterium
Lineage: Bacteria
Description: partial 16S ribosomal RNA
Rfam family: Bacterial small subunit ribosomal RNA
Source: RNAcentral